GACGAACGCUGGCGGCGUGCUUAAUACAUGCAAGUGGAGCGACGAACCAGGCUUCGGCCUGGGGCAGAGCCGCGAACGGGUGAGUAACACGUGGGUAACCUGCCUCGAUGACCGGGACAACCCGGGGAAACCCGGGCUAAUACCGGAUGUGCUGUCCCCACAUCAGUGGAGACAGGAAAGGAAGCUUCGGCCUCCGCAUCGAGAUGGGCCCGCGGCCCAUUAGCUUGUUGGUGUGGUAACGGCUCACCAAGGCUGCGAUGGGUAGCUGGUCUGAGAGGACGAUCAGCCACACUGGGACUGAGACACGGCCCAGACUCCUACGGGAGGCAGC
This 331-nucleotide ribosomal RNA is filed under the name uncultured bacterium. RNAcentral describes it as "bacterial SSU rRNA". It matches the Rfam family "Bacterial small subunit ribosomal RNA", at positions 28 to 352 of the family's 1533-position model. The record is from RNAcentral.